GCUCGGGCGCUUUUCCUCCAGGAAGCCAAGCCGCUGCGGUGCGCUUUGGCUACCUGGGAGGGAAAGGGGAAGGAAAUUCUCUCUACCCCCCGGCUUUCUCUUCCCUUCCCCCCAUUUGGGAAACGAGUAGAGGUAUUGAAAUUUAAAGGAGAUUUUCAAAGGCCGCUGUCGAAGGAUGCUAAUAGGAGUUGCAAGACAGACGCAUUAGGAAGAGGGAAUUUCCCACGGAAAGCUUUGUAAUGAGCUAACGAGACGCGUUCCCCCACCUCACCUUUGGAGGGGAGGGGAAAACAGAGCUUGAAUUACGCAUUUAAUUUCCCCUGCGCUCGUUCCCAAAUGGGAAAAGCUGAUGGGUCUCGAUAGGAUCGGGAUUUCUGGUUUCAAGGUUUAACGUUGUGCGCGCUCCCCUGCUUGCAGACCCCGCAGCUACUCCCACCGCACAUCCUCUCGCCGGUCUUCGCGUCUGCGUCUCCCUCCCGCUGUUGGCGCGUUGCUUCGGUUUAUCCAGGUCUCCAACUCGCCCAAUACCUGGAUCAACACAACGAAAGCACAGAAAGUGGACAAACAGAAGGAGAACAACUAUGAAGGCUCAUGAAAACUCAUGAUUUAAAGAUCACAUUUCUCCACCUGGACUGAUUUAAGAAUUGAGGUUAGUUGACUACUAUUAGCAAGACUUGCAAUUAUGGCAUGCAGGCACAUCCUCUUCUGUUCACUUGAGUUAUUUCUGUAUAGCAGUAGAUCAUGAGGACAUGGACAAAGGCAUUGCACCUACUUUCUCCUUGAGCAAUUUCCAUUGAUGUCUGUGAUGCUGAUACUGAAUUACAGAAUCCCGAGGAUUCUGUAUUGUUGUAGUUCUAAACCUUUUGCUGUGGAGGUUAGCCUGUGGAUAGGAAGAGUCAAACAAGAACAACUUAUACAGUUUCUCUGGCUAGAAAAUGAACAAUACAUGCUUCCUGUCCUUAUGAUGUUCCCACAUGUGGAUGGUGAAGCAGGCACCAAGAUGACUAAGCUAGAACAACAAGAUUUGGUGAAUCCAGAGCUGACGAAUAACAGUUCAUCUGGCAUGGAAGCAAAGGAAGAAGUUCCAGGGAAGGCAAAGGCCCAAAUUUGUGAAUCUGUGUGCCAUGUGCUGGGGAAAAUUGAAACCUUCCAAUGAACUAGAAUGAAUGUUGUGUGUAUGGGAAGCCUAUGGACUCAAUGAGAAGAAUAAUUAGUGAAUGUGUCCAUGUUGUCUAUAUUUUACAUGGGUCAGAAGGAAGGAUUGAGUGCAGAAGACAAAAUGUUAAUCGGAAGUGGGGUCAUUUUCAUAUUUAGGCUUAAACAAGAAUAUAGACAUUACUAUUAAAGCAUAGAAAUAAAAAAAUGAUGAUAUUUUUAAGUGUCAUAACUUCUAACUAUUUGCCAUCAUAUUUUUGGUUUACUCCCUUUCAAAUACACUUAAGCGUAAGUGUAGCCUAGAAGAGAGCAAGACCCAAUAUUUGGCUAGUUCAGGGAGUGACUUACAAGCAAAGCAGUUCCACCCAUGACCAAUUUCUUAAAUUUCUGGAGCAACCCAAGUAGCAAGACUGGGAAAAUAUGACUGAAUUUGCAAAAAAUCAAGUCACUUCUUUGGAAAGAUGUUAAACUCCAAAGAUCAAUGUAUAGACCUUUCCACUUAGCUUACAACUAGAUAAAACAUUCUUUUGACAUGAAAUGGCUUAGGACAAAUGCUUUAACAAAAGAACUGAUUAAACACUGCUGUUACUAAAGCCUCACAAUAGUUAAUGCACUUAAAGAGUUCUAAAUCGGCUGAGCAUUGACGUCUUAAAGGAUUAUAUUGAGUGUCACCAUAUACACAGGAAAGUCUCCUUCAAAACCUACUAUGGAGUAUAAUGGACUAUACAUGUUAUUGUAAACAAAUUGGCAAGAUUCGAGGUUUUCUCUGGAUUCUAGCAUCUUUAAAAAGAGAAUGUCUGUUGUUUUAUAAAAGCAUUUAUUUACAUCUUUAUCAGGUAUCCUCCAGUCCCAAAUGUGAGAGGUUAGGGCAAUCUGUGGAUUGGGGUGGCUUUCUCUUCUAAGUCACUCCCAGACUAGGGAAGUGACUCAGAAGAGUCACUGAGUGGGGAAACACAGAACCAGGGAUGGCUCUGUAGCUCUGACCUAACUUAAAGCUCCAGAUUGGUCUGACCUUUUCUCACUUUGCGAUUCAGACCUGAAAAAAAUGAGGCCAAAGUUGGCUCAUCUUCCUCCCUUGAAAAUGUUCUAAGGAGAUGAACCACAUCCUGUCCUAUCUCCCCCAAACCAUACCUCAGCACAGGGGCUUGUUUCAUUGGUACAAGAAUAAGUUGUCUUUCUUUUGCUAGAAAGCUCACAACUUUAAAACCUACAAAAAAUGAAUGAAUUAUAAUCUAGAACUUCAGAUAUCUGUAUCAUAAUAGUUGGAUAUGCUUAUGGAGUAUGAUAUGAUCUUUUGCAGCAAAAUCUCACUUUGUACUCAACAAAUACAUACAAUUAUUAUUUGAAAGUUCAAUUAAUUAGUUUAAAAAUCUGUAGAAAUAUCAGUGUCUUCUGGGGAGGAAAUUAUUACGUGCAUGUCAAGAUUUGCCAAAAUUUUAAUACUUUGUUACCCUAUGUCACUUUUGUGAAGUGAUUAUAGGGAUAUUUUUCUAAAUAUAGAGUUUAUCAUAAGGAAGUUUUGUUAACAAUAGAAUCUUAAAAGUGCACUAGGAUAUUCAUUGCAAUUUUGUUUUUAAAAGUAAAAAAACAUUGGCUGGAUGUGGUGGCUUAUGCUUGUAAUCCCAGAACUUUGGGAAUCUGAGGUAGGCAAAUCACUUGAGGCUUGAAGUUCGAGACCAGCCUGGCCAACAUGGUGAAACCCCGUCUCUACUAAAAAUACAAAAAUUAGCUGGGUGUGGUGGUAGGCACCUGUAAUCCAGGUAUGUGGGAGGCUGAGACACGAGGAUCACUUGAACCAAGGAGGUGGAGGUUGCAGUGAGCCGGGAUUGCAGUGAGCCACGGCACUCCACCCUGGGCAACAGAGCAAGACUCCAUGUCAAGGAAGAAAGGAAGGAAGGAAGGCGAGAGAGAGAGAGAGAAAGAAAGAGAGAGAUAAAGAAGAAAGAAAAGAGAAAGAGUAAAAGAAAGAGAAAGAAAGAGAAAGAAGAAAGAAAGAGAA
RNAcentral lists this long non-coding RNA (3154 nucleotides) under Homo sapiens (human). RNAcentral describes it as "CNTNAP5 divergent transcript". Lineage: Eukaryota; Metazoa; Chordata; Mammalia; Primates; Hominidae. The record is from RNAcentral.